GCACGUGGACGGCCCGGGGACGAAUGCGCGAGCAGCUCUGAGUCUCUGCACAGACCGCAGCCCCUCCUGUCCCCGUUCCGUUUCCUGCCUCCGGCCGAGCCCUUCCAGGAGCCACACCAGCAGGGCCGGAUGCGCCCAGGGGAGAAGGCACAGGGCUGCCCUGGCCCUGCUCAGGCUGCUGUGCUGAACUCACACCCUCCAGCUGGGAGGAAGGCCUCAGGACGAGGACAGCUGUCUCUGAAAGCCCUCACCGCUCACCGUAGACUGACACGCUGCUGAGGCCCCGACGUGGUCACCCACCCGCAGAUCCCGCGUGUACCGUCUCUUACUGUUCUCCCCAAACAUCUCUGCAGGAACCGGGAGUUAGUAGGGCUGGGGAACGGGGGAUGGGGCAGAGGGCAAAGGCGGUGGUGGGAAGAGGACCUCCGGGGGUGCGAUAGAGGCGGGCCAGGCUCUGCCCAGUGGGGCGCACGGACGUCCCGCAGCUGCUGGAACCAAGCCCCACGGACUGGGGGCCUAAACCCACGACCUUUGUUCUCUCGACGUCUGGAGGCAGAAGUCUGAAACCAAGAUGUGGGCAGGGCCGCUUUCCCCCGGAGGCUCCGAGGGAGGCUCCUUCCUUGCCUCGUCCUGUCGCCAAUGUUGCCAGCGGCACGGGCUUGCAUACAUGUCCUUCCGACCCGUGCCUCUGUCCUUCCACAGCCUUCCCGUCUGUGUGUCUCCAGUGCACCCCCCUUCACCUGUCACCAGAACCAGACCCGCCGUAAAUCCAGGAGGAUCUCAUCCCAGGACCUGUAUGUUGAUCUUAUCUGCAAUGACUCUCUCUUCAAAUAAGUUCACACGCACAGGCACCAGGGGUUAGAACUUGGACUCGUCGGUGACGUCCCAUGACUAAGGGCACCUCACUAACGUCUCCUUAUUAGCGAACUGCCCGGAGUAUGGAUUGGGUCAGGGGCUGUCAGCCUUGCUGCCCCUUGAAAUUCCCCUAGUGCCUUCAAGAAAGGGGGUCCCCUCCCUCCCCAGA
Long non-coding RNA from Mustela erminea (ermine), 1024 nucleotides. RefSeq lists it as uncharacterized. The transcript is spliced from 4 exons. Lineage: Eukaryota; Metazoa; Chordata; Mammalia; Carnivora; Mustelidae. The record is from RefSeq and is a predicted model, not a curated record.